Molecule: long non-coding RNA, 565 nt
Organism: Pimephales promelas (fathead minnow)
Lineage: Eukaryota; Metazoa; Chordata; Actinopteri; Cypriniformes; Leuciscidae
Source: RefSeq, a predicted model, not a curated record
GGAUAUUUAAGCGAGAGAAAUCAGAGAUCAGUCUUUUCUAUCCUGCAGACUCUGUUGUCUGAGAUGGAGCGGAAUGACUCUACUUGUAUGCUGUGAUCUAGUGUGCAGUCUGCUGCCACCAGAUGACAUCAUACGAGUCGAGACGUCACGCUGCCGAAGGAUCUCUUUGCCUUAACCCUUAUAAGGCAUGCUUGCGUUUAUUUUUUAGGAGAGGUGGAGGACCAAUCUGCCAAGGGAUUCGGCACUCGGGUCCGCUGCCCUGUUCAAGUGCAUUCUCUGGCAACACUGGAUGUCUGGCUGGGGUCCAGUGGACCUGGAGUGGACAGCACCAGGUCUAUCCAUGACCUGCUGACGAAGCACCAGUAAACUAGAAGCAACCGAAAACAAACAAGCCGUAAAUGAUCCCCUAAACUUUUGGUCGGCUUCUGGUUGUCUGUUGCUUGGUUACAGGUUAUGGGGAUGACCUGCUGUAAAACCAACCAUGUUUUGAAAUAAGGCUGACUGCAACUUUUUUCCUCAAAAAAUAAAAAAUCAAUAAAAAUGUAAAAACCGCAACUAAAAUUAA